GAUGAACGCUGGCGGCGUGCCUAAUACAUGCAAGUCGAGCGAACAGACGAGGAGCUUGCUCCUCUGACGUUAGCGGCGGACGGGUGAGUAACACGUGGAUAACCUACCUAUAAGACUGGGAUAACUUCGGGAAACCGGAGCUAAUACCGGAUAAUAUAUUGAACCGCAUGGUUCAAUAGUGAAAGACGGUUUUGCUGUCACUUAUAGAUGGAUCCGCGCCGCAUUAGCUAGUUGGUAAGGUAACGGCUUACCAAGGCAACGAUGCGUAGCCGACCUGAGAGGGUGAUCGGCCACACUGGAACUGAGACACGGUCCAGACUCCUACGGGAGGCAGCAGUAGGGAAUCUUCCGCAAUGGGCGAAAGCCUGAUGCAGCAACGCCGCGUGAGUGAUGAAGGUCUUCGGAUCGUAAAGCCCUGUUAUUAGGGAAGAACAAAUGUGGAAGUAACCACGCAUGUCUUGACGGUACCUAAUCAGAAAGCCACGGCUAACUACGUG
RNAcentral lists this ribosomal RNA (497 nucleotides) under uncultured bacterium. RNAcentral's name for it is "partial 16S ribosomal RNA". It matches the Rfam family "Bacterial small subunit ribosomal RNA", at positions 28 to 507 of the family's 1533-position model. The record is from RNAcentral.